GACGAACGCUGGCGGCGUGCCUAAUACAUGCAAGUAGAACGCUGAAGGAGGAGCUUGCUUCUCUGGAUGAGUUGCGAACGGGUGAGUAACGCGUAGGUAACCUGCCUGGUAGCGGGGGAUAACUAUUGGAAACGAUAGCUAAUACCGCAUAAUAGUAGAUGUUGCAUGACAUUUGCUUAAAAGGUGCAAUUGCAUCACUACCAGAUGGACCUGCGUUGUAUUAGCUAGUUGGUGAGGUAACGGCUCACCAAGGCAACGAUACAUAGCCGACCUGAGAGGGGGAUCGGCCACACUGGGACUGAGACACGGCCCAGACUCCUACGGGAGGCAGCAGUAGGGAAUCUUCGGCAAUGGACGGAAGUCUGACCGAGCAACGCCGCGUGAGUGAAGAAGGUUUUCGGAUCGUAAAGCUCUGUUGUAAGAGAAGAACGAGUGUGAGAGUGGAAAGUUCACACUGUGACGGUAUCUGACCAGAAAGGGACGGCUAACUACGUG
Molecule: ribosomal RNA, 495 nt
Filed under: uncultured bacterium
Lineage: Bacteria
Description: partial 16S ribosomal RNA
Rfam family: Bacterial small subunit ribosomal RNA
Source: RNAcentral